ACUCAAACUGUGUGACAUUUUG
This 22-nucleotide microRNA is filed under the name Mus musculus (house mouse). RNAcentral's name for it is "mmu-miR-293-5p". Its record names the gene mmu-miR-293-5p. Lineage: Eukaryota; Metazoa; Chordata; Mammalia; Rodentia; Muridae. The record is from miRBase by way of RNAcentral.